UGAACCAGAUAGAGUGGGACU
RNAcentral lists this microRNA (21 nucleotides) under Brassica napus (rape). RNAcentral's name for it is "bna-miR6033". The record is from miRBase by way of RNAcentral. Lineage: Eukaryota; Viridiplantae; Streptophyta; Magnoliopsida; Brassicales; Brassicaceae.